AGCGAACGCUGGCGGCAGGCUUAACACAUGCAAGUCGAACGGCCACUUCGGUGCUAGUUGCAGACGGGUGAGUAACACGGGGGAACGUACCUUUCGGUUCGGAAUAAUCCAUGUACACGUGGACUAAUGCCGGAUACGCCCUUCUAGGAAAAGAUUCAUCGUCGAUAUAUCGGCCGGCGUCUGAUGAACUAGUUGGUGAGGAAAUGGCUCACCAAGGCUACGAUCAGUAGCUGGUCUGAGAGGAUGAUCAGCGACACUUGGACUGAGACACGGCCCAAACUCCUACGGGAGGCAGCAGUGGGGAAUAUUGGACAAUGGGCGCAAGCAUGAUCCAGCCAUGCCGCGUGAGUGAUGAAGGCCUUAGGGUUGUAAAGCUCUUUUGUACGGGAAGAUAAUGACUGUACCGAAAGAAUAAGCCCCGGCUAACUUCGUG
RNAcentral lists this ribosomal RNA (433 nucleotides) under uncultured bacterium. Its description in RNAcentral is "partial 16S ribosomal RNA". It matches the Rfam family "Bacterial small subunit ribosomal RNA", at positions 29 to 507 of the family's 1533-position model. The record is from RNAcentral.